Molecule: long non-coding RNA, 1072 nt
Filed under: Brassica napus (rape)
Lineage: Eukaryota; Viridiplantae; Streptophyta; Magnoliopsida; Brassicales; Brassicaceae
Description: long non-coding RNA (BNAP_LNC018477)
Source: RNAcentral
CAGGAUGAAUCGCGAUGUAAGAAGCUUGAUUUUGAUACAUAAAGUAAUGGAGAAUCACAAGGAAGUUGAAUAAAUCUCAUAGGAGUUAGGAUGAAGAAGCUAUCCCACUUUCAAAUAAGGUGAUCCCAGUUUUCCUGUUUGGGAAUAUGACAACUUCUUCGUCACUCUAAUCAAACCAGGAUGAAUCGCGAUGUGAGAAGCUUGAUUUUGAUACAUAAAGUAGUGGAGAAUCACUAGAAAGUUGAAUAAAUCUCAUAGGAGUUAGGAUGAAGAAGCUAUCCCACUUUGAAAUCAGGUGGUCGCAGUUUUCUUGUUUGGGAAUAUGACAACUUCUUCGUCAUUCUAAUCAAACCAGGAUGAAUCGCGAUGUGAGAAGCUUGAUUUUGAUACAUAAAGUAGUGGAGAAUCACCAGGAAGUUGAAUAAAACAAAUAGGAGUUAAGAUGAAGAAGCUAUCACACUUUCAAAUUAGGUGAUCCUAGUUUUCCUGUUUGGGAAAAUGACAACUUCUUUGUCACUCUAAUCAAACCAGGAUGAAUCGCGAUGUAAGAAGCUUGAUUUUGAUACAUAAAUUAGUGGAGAAUCACCAGAAAGUUGAAUAAAUCUCAUAGGAGUUAGGAUGAAGAAGCUAUCCCACUUUGAAAUCAGGUAGUUUUCUUGUUUGGGAAUAUGACAACUUCUUCGUCAUUCUAAUCAAACCAGGAUGAAUCGAGAUGUUAGAAGCUUUAUUUUGAUACAUAAAGUUGUGGAGAAUCACUAGGAAGUUGAAUAAAUCUCAUAGGAGUUAGGAUGAAGAAGCUAUCCCACUUUCAAAUAAGGUGAUCACAGUUUUCCUGUUUGGGAAUAUGACAACUUCGUUGUCAUUCUAAUCAAACCAGGAUGAAUCGCGAUGUAAGAAGCUUUAUUUUGAUACAUAAAGUAGUGGAGAAUCACCAGAAAGUUGAAUAAAUCUCAUAGGAGUUAUGAUGAAGAAGCUAUCACACUUUCAAAUCAGGUGAUCCCAGUUUUCCUGUUUGGGAAUAUGACAACUUCUUCGUCAUUCUAAUCAAACCAGGAUGAAUCACGAUGUAAGA